GGCUUGAGGACCGUAUUCAUGGAAGAGGAUUGAACAGACUACUGAGUUCUUAAGAGAAAAAUGGCACUUAAGAAAUUGAUGGUGAUAUCAAAGGAAGGUUACUUAUUACUCUUGGACUUUGAUGAUGAGGACGAUGACAUAAAAGUUUCAGAGGAGGCUCUUGCGGAAGAGAUGAAGUAGACAGUAUGUUGGAUAAAUCUGGAGUAAAGAACCCAGCAAUUGGUAAAGAUGAGAAUAUAUCGCCUCAAGUAAAAGGAGAUGAAGACAUGGGAGAUGAAAUUGACAGUAUGUUGGCUACAUCUGGAGAUUAUCUGAAUGAAACAUAGCAACUGUAACUUAAAUCAAGAAAGCUAUUCUGUGCGGACAUUAGAAGUGUGAAACUAAUUCUCAAAAGGUGUAUAUUAUCUGAAUCAACACUUAUAAUUUCCUACCCAUUUAACAACACAGCAAGUUCUUCAUGCCUAGCAGGAUUAUUCUGGUACUUAAAUUUAAUGUUUUCAAAGAUGACAAAAGACCAACUGGAAAUUCAGAAAAGCACAGUGAAUACAGAAUUAUCCCAGAAUACAAGCUACCCCCCCUAUUGUAGGGAAAAGAGUGGAUAUUCUGACAGUAAAUAGCUUUUAAAUAUAAACUAUUGAAAUAAAUUAGAGUUAAACAAAGAAAGGGGGUACUAAAGCAUUCAGGAAUUCCAAGAAGAAAGAACUUAUGGCAUAGCAUUGAGGCAAUCUCACAAGGAAAUAAUUAGAUUUUAGAAAGUGCCCCUGUGUUUCUGAAUGAUGCAAGCCUUUAUUGCUGUGUAGCCAAAGGGAAACAGAAAUUCUUCACAAAAAUCAAAGAGGGGAGUGAAAUAAACACCUUCCAUCCAGCAAGAUCAAAAAUUGCUCAUAGAAAAAUGGCAAGGUAUGCAACAGGCAAACGAAGUUCCUGUGUCAGUAAAGUAGGAUCUUCAAUUAUAGCCUCAAUUUUACACUUUCUCAGUGUAUCAAUUUCUAUAAAAUAUGACCUCUCAAAUAAUCAGUUUGACUAAAGAUUUAAUAAAUCAUUCUGUGAACUAUAUUCCAGCUGCAUCAUUGGACUGAAAGUGAAUGGCCCAUGUGUUGCCACUGAUGUGAGCCAUUUGCAAGCC
This 1126-nucleotide non-coding RNA is filed under the name Mus musculus (house mouse). The record is from RNAcentral. Lineage: Eukaryota; Metazoa; Chordata; Mammalia; Rodentia; Muridae.